GUGCUCGCUUUGGAAGCACAUAUACUAAAAUUGGAACAAUACAGAGAAGAUUAGCAAGACCACUGGCUAAAAGGCUAUGAAGGGAGGCAAAGAAGCCCCAUCCAGGUUC
Molecule: small nuclear RNA, 109 nt
Organism: Vombatus ursinus (common wombat)
Lineage: Eukaryota; Metazoa; Chordata; Mammalia; Diprotodontia; Vombatidae
Source: Ensembl